Molecule: unclassified non-coding RNA, 282 nt
Filed under: fungal sp.
Lineage: Eukaryota; Fungi
Description: partial internal transcribed spacer region
Rfam family: Eukaryotic small subunit ribosomal RNA (bases 1-46)
Source: RNAcentral
AAGUCGUAACAAGGUUUCCGUAGGUGAACCUGCGGAAGGAUCAUUAACACGUAUCCACACGUAUUCCACCCUCAUGUGAAUUUGUUUUCAACCCCCCCUUCUGACUCGUCUCAGCAGCGAGUUUUAUUGUUUCACCACAAAAACAAACCCUUCUCACCUCUAUAACUUUUGCUAGUUGACUUUUUAAUCUGUUGGCGCUCUCACUUAAUUGCGAGGCUCAGCACGUUUGAUCUAAUUGAACGUAAAAUAAUACAACUCUUAGCAAUGGAUAUCUUGGUUCUC